Long non-coding RNA from Leguminivora glycinivorella, 215 nucleotides. RefSeq lists it as uncharacterized. The record is from RefSeq and is a predicted model, not a curated record. NCBI's taxonomy places the organism in Eukaryota, Metazoa, Arthropoda, Insecta, Lepidoptera, Tortricidae. The transcript is spliced from 3 exons.
UUUCCUCGAGUGAUUAGUACAAUUUUUAAACACACAAGAAGGCAUUAUUCACGUGGAAAGUAAAUGCAUCACGGCACGUCACUGCACCGCAAGGACCCGGUAAGGACUGACAACGUUGCGGUCCAGUGGACCGCAGUGCGUUGUGUAAAAAAUCUCUUAGCAACGUCGCCUCUAGUACGUAGUACAUAUACCUCAAUGCAUUUUAGGUUUUUGAA